This 492-nucleotide ribosomal RNA is filed under the name uncultured bacterium. Its description in RNAcentral is "partial 16S ribosomal RNA". It matches the Rfam family "Bacterial small subunit ribosomal RNA", at positions 29 to 507 of the family's 1533-position model. The record is from RNAcentral.
AGUGAACGCUGGCGGUAGGCCUAACACAUGCAAGUCGAACGGUAGCACAGUAAGAGCUUGCUCUUACGGGUGGCGAGUGGCGGACGGGUGAGGAAUACAUCGGAAUCUACUUUUUCGUGGGGGAUAACGUAGGGAAACUUACGCUAAUACCGCAUACGACCUACGGGUGAAAGCAGGGGAUCUUCGGACCUUGCGCGAUUGAAUGAGCCGAUGUCGGAUUAGCUAGUUGGCGGGGUAAAGGCCCACCAAGGCGACGAUCCGUAGCUGGUCUGAGAGGAUGAUCAGCCACACUGGAACUGAGACACGGUCCAGACCCCUACGGGAGGCAGCAGUGGGGAAUAUUGGACAAUGGGCGCAAGCCUGAUCCAGCCAUACCGCGUGGGUGAAGAAGGCCUUCGGGUUGUAAAGCCCUUUUGUUGGGAAAGAAAAGCAGCAGGUUAAUACCCCGCUGUUCUGACGGUACCCAAAGAAUAAGCACCGGCUAACUUCGUG